This 89-nucleotide small nuclear RNA is filed under the name Chinchilla lanigera (long-tailed chinchilla). The record is from RNAcentral. Lineage: Eukaryota; Metazoa; Chordata; Mammalia; Rodentia; Chinchillidae.
GUCAUUUAAAAAUUGGAACGAUACAGAGAAGAUUAGCAUGGCCCCUGUGCAAGGAUGAUAUGCAAAUUUGUGAAGUGUUCCAUAUUAAA